RNAcentral lists this non-coding RNA (100 nucleotides) under bovine gut metagenome. RNAcentral describes it as "THF riboswitch". It matches the Rfam family "THF (Tetrahydrofolate) riboswitch aptamer". Rfam says of the family: THF riboswitch presents a pseudoknot that joins P1-P2 and the loop of P3 and two THF binding. The record is from RNAcentral.
CAGAGUAGAAGGCAUAGCGUAAAGUGCCGUGCGGACGGGGAGUUGCCGCACAGACGAAAAAACCGGUCGGUUUUGCGGUCAUGCCUUCGCAUCCCGCUGU